Long non-coding RNA from Syngnathus typhle (broad-nosed pipefish), 1434 nucleotides. RefSeq lists it as uncharacterized. The record is from RefSeq and is a predicted model, not a curated record. Lineage: Eukaryota; Metazoa; Chordata; Actinopteri; Syngnathiformes; Syngnathidae. The transcript has 2 exons.
AGCGCACGCCGACGUCAUCUUGCGGCGCAGCUCGGUCUGAGUGGGAACCGCAAGGCUGAGCUCGGCGCUCAAAGACUCGGGACCUGCUGCAUGCAAGACACGCCACAAUAAAACAAAACUCCACUCACGUCAAAGGGCGUGCAGAGGAUGGGACAAUGAGGAGAUGCCCCACCCCCCCUACGUGAGUCGGAAGGAGACGAUUGGCUCUUGCAAACAGUUACAGAAGACAUUAUUGGCUAGCGUACCUCGAGGAAAUCAGGAGGGCGGAGCGGGUUCGCCGAGUCGCGUGGGAGGGACAGCACAAGAAAGAAGAAGAAGGACACCGUGGGGAGGGGGCUCAUGUUAUCACACUCCACCCAGGAGACACUGACAACUACGCUGGGCUCACUCCGCCGUUGCCCUUUUGAAGCUUAAAAAAAACAAGAUGAGGAGCUCCCGGUCUCAAUUGCAAUUUGGACGCGUCAAGCGUACUUUUGCACUGCCAGAUUUGACAGCCGUUUAAACGCUCUUACAUGGCAUUCCGAAGAAAUCGUGACCAAGAAAUAAGACUCAUGCUCCAGAUUUGAGGGCGGCCAAAACGGAGUCAGCCCGGUGUAGUUGGGUGGCCGAGAUCCAUAGAGCAAAUAGCCGUGGCCUCUCACCUCUCCUCUCGACGAUCUGGAGGUAACCUGUGGACAGGUACUGCUCCACAUCCUGCUGGAAGGCCUCCUCCAGCAGCUUAUGUUUGUCUUUCGGCUUCCGCUGCCCGUCAUCGCCAGCGUCAGCACACUGAGAGCGGGACCCCUUGGGUGUGGGCUCACAGUCCACCUCCGCUGCAAACAUUUCAGGGUGCACAGAAAGAGAAUGUCACGAUUGGUGGAAUCCAAGGCCGGGCCCUCGUUUGUACGUGCGGCGGGCACAAAUGGCUCCCCUCGACUUCUUUGCUCCAUGUGAUUGCAUGUAAGCGCCCUUUUGACAUCUGCAAAGCAGCAUAAAAGACCCCGUGAGCUAAAUAUGAGCUACCGCUAAAAAUAGAAGCCCCCGGAGCAGCAAGAAGACGCGGCAGGCGGCACAAAAUGUAGUUGAGCUUACAAGAAGGAGGAACAAAGUGCAAAGAAAAGGGAUUAGAACGUGCACGUUGGUGGCAGGUGCUUUAAUCGAUCCACGCAGCACCCAAAUGAUGAGAAAUCUCAAACAAGGCACCAACCAAGUGUUAUUUGCAUAGGCCUCCCUGUAAAUUUGGAAAUCUGGUGUCUUCAACAUUUUAUUGAUUUGGGGGCGUGGCUAAAACCGCAGCCAGUCACAAACAGCGGCGUCGACAUUCGAAUGGGCGCACCUUGGUUUACGACGGUGGUGCAUGAUGUCACGUAAUUGGAACUUAGUUACGAACUGCCAUAUCCAUCUGGAAUACGCAUUUGUUUGCAAAAUAAAUUCAAUUAAAUAUCAUCAGCUCUA